GUUGAGGUAGCCAAGCCUGGUAUGGCGCGGGGUUGCUAACCCCGUGUCCUUCUCGGACUCGGGGGUUCAAAUCCCUCCCUCAACG
The sequence is a transfer RNA, 85 nucleotides long. It matches the Rfam family "tRNA". From Rfam's summary of the family: Transfer RNA (tRNA) molecules are approximately 80 nucleotides in length. The record is from Rfam.